Molecule: long non-coding RNA, 1166 nt
Organism: Cynoglossus semilaevis (tongue sole)
Lineage: Eukaryota; Metazoa; Chordata; Actinopteri; Pleuronectiformes; Cynoglossidae
Exons: 4
Source: RefSeq, a predicted model, not a curated record
GUUUUUCUCUUCUAUUGCUUGUUUUGAGAAUAUUGUUGCACACUCUGUUGGUUUAGUAACUUUAUAAGUUAUAAGUCAAUUUUAAACAGAAGUAAAUGUAGACGUUUAAUCAUUCUUUGUAUAAAAGUUGAGACAGCUGCUGGGGAGCAUUUCUAAUUGAGGUCUUUUCUGUGCCCGACAACACCAACCAAUGAGACGCAGCGUGCGCCUUCCAGCUCCUACAGGUUGCAGGGAACGUGAUGUUGUUGGCCGUCUGUGUUGCCAGUAGACAUAGAGGAGCAGAGAGAGAGAUGCGGACGACCUCAAAUUGGGCCGCUUUAAUUCAGGCAACCAGAUGGCAGCUACAGUGGAGGAGUGGUUGGUGGACAUGCUUUCCAGAAGAUCCCUGCUAUGAUCCCAACUGAUUCUGCUCUGAUGGAGGUUUCCUCCUCUUUGAAUUCACUGAACGGCCCCAGAAGCAACACAGAUAUACGGUGGAGCUUUCCUGAGAUGAGGACGUACAGUAAAAGAGAAGGUAACAUGAGCGCCAGGUCUGUGAUAUUACAGUGAAUGUACACAACCUGCCCUCUGACCUGCAGCACUCGCUGCUCCCUCACUCCACUUCUGAUUUUUCCAUCUUAUUCUAUCUUAAUGGAAUUACAGGAUAUUCAGAAUGAACUGCCAUGACCUUUUAUGAGCUCAUCAAAUUGUUUCAAAAUGCUGCUAUUAUUUAAAAUAUGUUGGCAUUUUGUCAGUUCCUAAAAAUACACGUAGUGGAAACGUGCAGUAAAUGACAGUAAAUGGGGAAACAUUAUGUGGGCAAAUGUAGUUCCUGAUAACAAUGCAUAUGUGUCUGAGCUGCAGGAAAUUCCGUGUCAUCCGUGUCUAUGGGUUAAUUCCCUUUCACAAUAACUGUCCCCCGGUCACUGAUGUUAGACCAUUACUCACAGUGUACUGUUUGUAUGUUGAGGAAUGAGCUAAACACCAAAGUAUAUUGUAACACAGAGCAUGCAGGAAUUUCCUAUUGAAAAAGUGAAUGUAAUGCAAAAUAUAAAAUACAUAAGCUUCAGACCUGUUCUAAUGAGGAGACAUAAGGAACUGUAAAGUAUUAAUCUCCAACUAACAACUCGCAGAUCAACAUUUAAGAUCACUUAAAGGAGGAAUUUAAUAAAACGUGGUUUAUGUCA